Molecule: ribosomal RNA, 253 nt
Filed under: uncultured bacterium
Lineage: Bacteria
Description: partial 16S ribosomal RNA
Rfam family: Bacterial small subunit ribosomal RNA
Source: RNAcentral
UACGGAGGGGGCUAGCGUUGUUCGGAAUCAUUGGGCGUAAAGGGCGCGUAGGCGGCCGAUCAAGUCGGAGGUGAAAUCCCUCGGCUCAACUGAGGAAUUGCCUUCGAUACUGUUCGGCUUGAGUCCUGGAGAGGGUAGCGGAAUUCCCGGUGUAGCGGUGAAAUGCGUAGAGACCGGGAAGAACUCCAGUGGCGAAGGCGGCUACCUGGACAGGUACUGACGCUGAAGCGCGAAAGCUAGGGGAGCAAACAGG